This 753-nucleotide long non-coding RNA is filed under the name Aotus nancymaae (Ma's night monkey). RNAcentral's name for it is "lncRNA (ENSANAG00000039314.1)". Lineage: Eukaryota; Metazoa; Chordata; Mammalia; Primates; Aotidae. The record is from RNAcentral.
CCCCAUCUGCUUUUGCCCUGGCUCAUGUCACAUGGGGGUCUGGGAUGAUUCGUCUGGCUUGAACUCAGGGCCUCUGCCCAAAGAAACUGCUCCCAGGACCCCAGUGGCCAAGUCUCCCUCUAGGGAGCUGUGAGCCAGCUCUGGAGAGAGCAGCCUGGGAGCGGCACCCAUGUGCUUCUGACUCACCUUUCAGGGCAGUGUCUCAGGGCCAGGAGAACCCAGAGCAGGUGCGGGCCUCUGUGAAGAAAGAGCCUGUGGCAGGGCCCUGAGAUGGGUGGGCGGCCCCACCUCCCUUUCCCCUGCCUGCCAUCAGGUCUAGCACUACCCAUUCAAAAGGGGGUCACCCCAUUCCAGGCAUGCAGCUGGAUGGCCUCUGUGACGGAGCACACUAUGGACUGCAUGUGUGGAGAGUCGCCUGCACCUGGAGGCUGGGCUGUGAGGAGCACAGUCCUGCAUAGGGGCCUGCGGCCUGACCCUACCCUCACUGGGAACCCCCUUCCUUCCUGGGUGCCAGCCCCAGAACUGGAACGAGGAGCUGCAGACAGUGAGGGACCUGCCAACAAGAACCGACCUGAGCAGCUGCUGCAAGAAAGAGCCAUGUUCAAGGGGCCCGAAGCCCCUGGAGCUGCCAGAGGGGUGCCCCCAUGCCACCUUCUCCUGCACCUACAGGCACAGCUUCUGUUGCUUGCACCAGGAGCUGGUGGAUGCCUUUGUGGAGCACAGGAGCAUUUGGAAGUCGCUGGGUGGUUGUGA